This 7243-nucleotide long non-coding RNA is filed under the name Homo sapiens (human). RNAcentral describes it as "HSALNT0281090". Lineage: Eukaryota; Metazoa; Chordata; Mammalia; Primates; Hominidae. The record is from RNAcentral.
CGAGCCUCGUGCUCUUCUCGAAUUUUCUUCCUUCUCAAUUUUCAUCUCGUGAGUGUAGCAACAUGAAUUAUAGCUUGUCAAGCAAUACAUUUUCUCAGCGUUGAGAAGAUUCUGCUCCAUUUUUUCUGAUUAUGGAUUCUGUUCAGAAGGAAGCCGAAUUUUAAGUCAUCGUUCUAGGAUAGAUUCAGCUCCAUUUUCUCUGGUGGUAGAUCUCCAUGGAUGCUAUUGAGAAGGUACUUCUCAAAGUCCACGAGGACAAGGACAUCUUUCCACCGAAUGCCACCUGGUUUAUAACAAAAGCAUGAAAAACAAACAGGAAUUUCUCAAUGCAGAAAGGACUGAAGCUGUCAAAGGUGUGCUUUUUUUCUGCACAAACAAGUUUCCAUUGAAUGAUAGAAUAAAGAGAUACUGACUUCCCCGGAGCCUCCAAACUUGAGUAGUCAGCAGGCAUUGGGAUCCGUGGAAGGCUUGUUAAAUCCAAAUAGAUUGGUCCUACUCCAUCCGCAGAGUUGCUGACGAGGUGCGUCCAGGCCUUCUCCUCACCUCUCAGGGAGAUAUACCAUGCAGUGCCUUCAGUUAUGGUGUUGUGACUGAGGAUGCUUCGGUCAGACAUGUCCCUGAAAACCUGCAUAGAGCUGCACUUCAAGGGAAGUUAUUGAAUAUGUCCUAUCCAACUAAAACAAGGAAAUGAUGAAAAAAAUAAAAUCACUUUCCAGAGGCCUCAGGGCUAACUGGAGACAGAGCUCAGACUGCAACUGAGAAAAGUUGGACUCCAAAACCUGUACUCUGAGCUUUACUGCAUGAGAAAGUUAUUGAAAUGUGCCUUGUGACAUUCAGAAUAAGUGACUUUUCAGAGGUCUCAGAGUCAGUAAGAGACAGAACUCAGAUUGUAACCAAGAAGAGCUGAACUCCAAACUUCUGUGUCCGGAAUUGGUGGGUUCUUGGUCUCACUGACUUCAAGAAUGAAGCGGCAGACCCUCGCGCAUACCUGCCAUGCAAGAAAUGUGAAAAGUUCUUCGGAGAGAAGGAAAAUUAUAUAGGUCAGAAACUGAGACCUACAUAAGGAAAGAAGAGCAUUGGAUGAAGAAGAAAUAAAUAAAGAUGCAAUGGAUUAAGACUCUUGACUAGAAUAAUCUGAAGCAUUCUGCGUGAAUUUGUGACCAAAGAAACCAAAAAUCAGGCUACCUUUGACAAUGUCAAAUUACAGUGAACUGUGGAGUCGAUUAUACCUCUCAUAUUUCUUUAUUAUGUUAAAUGCUUAAUUAUUUGCUUGAUUCUGUCUUUGUCAUAGUCCUUUAUUACAAUGACGUCUUAUUUAAGUAAAAGAAUUCCAAAUACAUAGAAAACAAAAGCAUUUGUUUUAUUUCAAAAUAAUGAAGAAACAUAAUAGGUUAUACAACUUUUCAAGAGACCAUUAUGCUGUUAAAUCAUUUAUAUAUCUUCUCUUUAUUUGGACUCAGAAAAUAUGGACAUUAUAAUGCAAAAAGUUACUGAAAAAUCAAUGUCAGCAUCAUCUGAACUCUUUUCCCCUAAUCUAAUCUAGGCAUUUGGAUUACCCAUUUCUAAGCACAUCAGUGGUUUUUGAAUGUCAGUAGCACCCUGCUUAAUCAAUAAGCCUUUAUUUGGCUCAAUGAACUGCUGAUACGUACUUUUACAUAUUCAAAAUCUGUCCCUCAGUAUGGAUACUAACUAGAUCUUUUUUGAAUGAGAAGGUCAGGUCAGGCUCCCCCUUGGCAAUGAUACCAGCUCCCUCAGAUUCUCAUUAAUGGAACCAUGUGCUCACUGAACAAAGAAUGCUUACAGAAAAAAAAAAGAAUAUUGACGUCAGUGUAUAUUAUAUUCCUUAAAAAUAUUUAUAAACGAGCAUUCGUUAUAGAAGCAAGGAACAUGACAGCUUAUUGAUUAUGCAAAUAUGUUCCUUGUACGCUUUUAAAAUAAAUCAAUUAGUGCAAGAGUUGGCAAAGUCUUCCUUAAAGGGCAAGAUUAUUAAAAUAUUAGGCUUUGCUGGCCAUUUGGUCUGUCACAACUAAUUAACUCUGCUGUCGUAAUGGGAAAACAGCCACAGACAAUAUGUGAAAUAAUGGAUGUGGCUGUAUUUCAAUAAAACUUUGUUUAGAGAAACAGGUGGUGGGACAGUGUGUUGAUCCCUGAACUAAUGGGAUAAAAUAUAACUUAAAUAUAAUAUGCAUGUAUGUACAUAUGUUUCUGUUUACAAAAUAGAAUUGAGUGUCUCUUUCAGCUAAUUGAGCACCAUAAUGUAAACCUACAAGAGGUACGAGAGAAUUUCGUAUAUGUAUUUGAAGUCUUGACACUGCUAAAUCUUUUGUUUGUAAUUGGCAUGCCAUGUUGGAAGACAUAAUAGAGAAACUGUCUAUCCAUGCGUCCUUUACUUAAGAAAACUAAACUCUUCUCUGAAGUUAUGUGGUAUAGAUUUUUCCUAAAGGAAGCCAACCAGUUGAAAGAUCAAGCUAUGCAUUAACUCAUCACACUUUAAAUAAGUAAAUAAAUAAAUAACUCACCUAGUUCAUUGUUUGGAUGGUUUAUUGGAUGUGAGAUACUUCAUACUGUCCUGACACAGAGUUUAUUACCUAUGUAAGAGAAGGCACAUAUGGUUAGGUUUCAAGAGAUAUUCUAAUUGUUUCCUGUGGUGAUGUUUGAACUCUACAGUCAAAUUCAGAUGCAUUUAAUUUGGUAAGGUAGACAAUUGGUUAAAUGUUUGGUGUCAAAGUAAGAAAUACAUAGUGAAUUGAUGGAGAGGAAUGUUCUUAAAGUGGUCUAUACAGAUUGACCCUAAAAUCAACCUCACCUUUAUAUCAACCUCGUCUUUGAAAAGAUUGCAGCCCCAAGGACUUUGAUUAUUUUUCUUCAUGACCUCUCUGGGUACCUGAUAAUAGGAAUAGACACACGAAAAAAAACCUGAUAAUGUUACUCUGGUGUAAUCACAACUACUUCUGCUCUAUUAAAACUACCAUGCGAUAUGACCACUUUUACAGUCAUUUGUUAACUUUCUCUUUUAUCAUCAAAGUUGUACUGCACAUACUCAAAACUGACAGCUACAAUAGAGUGGCCCAUAUAUUCUCUGAGAUCAAGACAGAAACAUUACUCAUCAAAUUCUAAUCUAGUGUCACAUAGGAGAAAUACAACUAGCCAGUGAGACUCUCACUGCUAUCUGGCUCACAGAAACAGAUAGAGCAACUUCUCAUCUAUUAUUGAAGCAUUGCAGAAAUUGUGGUGCAGUGUAUGUGCCUACACUAUAAAGUAGCUAGGCUUGCACUUUUUAUGUGUGUUUGGCCAUAUAAUUCAUCUGGGCCUAGUAUCAACUCAGGACAUGGAUAUACUUUUUAAAGUAAUUGAGUAAUGUAUAUCUUUAAAAGCAAUCUCGUUAGAGCUUUAGGACAUUUCUAACAAAGCAAUGAAAUGUAGAGAUCUUAAUACAUUUCUAUGACUAUGAAUGUAAAUAAUAUAUGUUAUUUAAUAUUUUUCACAUGAAAAGAAAAUACUAACCCAGAAUGAAAAUGUAUCAAUAAUCCUGAGUAAAUUAAUCUAACAACAAUGAAUGUUUUGUGGUGCAUAUUUGGCAAAGCCUUCAAAUUUGUCAGACCUUUACAAAUCAUUUUCUUAUGUAGAGUCAUUGCUGUGUUUUGUAAUAAAUUUUGAAAACUGGCUUUAUGGAAUAAAAUAAAAAGCAAAUUUAUUAACUUUUUUGUAAAAGCUUUUCAAUGGUUUCACUAACUAUUUAAAAACAAAAAUAAAUAACCUUUGAGAUUGCUAUAUCAUUGAGAUUAUUUUAAAAGUCUCUUGAAAGUACUUAUACCUUAUUUGGUAUUAUAAAGAGGUUUCUAUAAAAAGUUACUUGUAUUUUGUGUCCCAAAUAAUUCAACAACAUAUUUAUUCAUUCUGCAAACAAACGAUAGCUGUUCCCUAAAGCAAUAUUUAUUAGAAAACUUAGGAAACCUGAGCAAAAUAUUGACUGAAGACAAACACAUUUAUAAUCAAUUAAAGAUAAAAAAGUUAACUUUUUACAAGAUGGACUAAAGAUUUAAAUGUAAGACCUCAAACUAUAAAAAUCUGAGAAGAAAACUGAGUAAAUACCCUUCUCGGUGUGAGCUUUGGCAAAAAAAAAAAAAAAAAAAAUUAUGGCUAAGAACCCAAAAGCAAUUGAAACAAAACCAAAAAUUGACAAGGGAGCCUAAUUCAACUAAAGAGCUUCAGCAUAGCAAAAAGAAUUAUGAACAGAAUAAACAGGCAGCCUACAGAAUGGGAGAAAAUGUUUCCAAGCUAUACAUCCAACAAAGGUCUAAUAGAGCCUAGAAGGAACUUAACAAGCAAAAAACAAUCCAAUUAAAAUGUGGUCAAAGGACAUGAACAGACACUUCUCAAAAUAAGACAUGCAGGUGGCCAACAAACAUGAAAAAAUGCUCAUGAACACUAAUCAUCAGAGAAAUACAAAUUAAAACCAAAAUAGAAUACCAUCUCACACCGGUCAGAAUGGCUAUUACCAAAAAGUCAAAAAAUAACAGAUGCUGGCAAAACUGCAGAGAAAAGGGAAUGCUUACACACUGUUUGUGGGAAUGCAAAUUGGUUCAACCACUGUGGAAAGCAGUUUGGAGAUUCCUCAAAGAUUUGAAAACAGACCUACCACUCGACACAGCAAUCCCAUUACUGGAUAUAUACUCAAAGGAAAAUACAUCUCUCAACCAAAAACAAACAUUCACUCAUAUGUCUUUGUCAGUGCUAUUCACAAUAGCAAAGACGCAGAAACAAUAUAGGGACCCAACAAUGGUGGACUGGAUUUUAAAAAUGUAGUACAUAUACACCAUGAAAUACUGUGUAGCCAUACAAAGAAUGAAAUAAUCUAUUUUGCAGCAACAUGGAGGCAACUGGAGGCCAUUAUCUUAAGAAAAUUAACUCAGGAACAGAAAAUUAAAUGCUAUAUGUUCUGAUAUAUAAAUGGAAGGUAAACAUUGAGUACAUGUGGACUUAAAGAUGGGAGCAAUAGAAACUAAGGACUACUAGAUAGGAGAAGGAGGGAGGUGAAUGGGCUGAAAAACAACCUAUUGGGUACUGUCUGGGUGGGAUCAUGUGUACCCCAAACUUCAGCAUCACACAGUAUACACAUAUACACACAUAUAUACACACAUAUGUAUAUACACAUAUAUGUAAUAUAUCAAUACACAUAUAUGUAAAUGUAUGUGUAUAUAUGUAAAUAUGUAAAUAUAUGUAUAUAUGUGUGUGUAAAUAUAUGUAUACAUGUAUAUGUGUGUAAAUAUAUGUAUGUAUACAUAUAUGUAUAUGUGUGAAUAUGUAUGUGUAUAUGUAAAUAUAUGUAUAUAUACAUAUGUAUACAUGUAAAUGUAUGUGUGUACGUGCAUAUGUAAACACACAUAUGCAUAUAUGUAAAUAUAUGCAUAUGUAAAUACAUAAAUGCAUAUUUAUGUAAAUACAUGUAAAUAUGCAAACACACAGAUGCAUGUUUAUGUAAAUAUAUGUAAAUACAUAAUGUGCAAAGCGCAUGUAUAUGUAAAUAUAUGUAAAUAUGCAUAUAUGUAAAUGUGCAUGUAUACACAUGUAUGCAUGUAAAUGUGUAUGGCUAUAAACAUACGCAUAUAUGUAAAUAUAUACGUAUAUGUAAAUAUAUGUAAAUAUAUUUACAUAUAUACAUAUUCACGUUAUGCAUAUAUGUAAAUAUAUUUACAUAUACACAUACAUAUUCACACAUAUACAUAUAUGUAUACAUACAUAUAUUUACACACAUAUACAUGUAUACAUAUAUUUACACACACAUAUACAUAUACAUUUACAUAUAUGUAAAUUGAUAUAUUACAUAUACGUAUAUGUAUAUAUUUACAUAUCUGUAUAUAGAUGUAUUUACAUAUGCAUAUAUGUAUAUAUUUACAUAUAUUUACAUGUAUACAUAUAUGCAUAUAUAUAUAAAUAUAAAUACAAACCUGUCCAUGUACCCUCUAAAUCCAAAAUAAAAGUGGGGUAAAAAGGCUUAACUUUUCACAGAUUAUCUUCAAAGUGACCACUAAUGGAUAUACUUCCACACACAGAAAAAUAAACCCAGAAAGAGGAAAUUGAAUGAAAGAAGAAAUGACGAAAGAGAAAAUGGUUAAAUCUAAACAAGUUGUGAGGCUGGCACGGUGUCUCACGCCUGUAAUCCCAUCACUUUGGGAGGCCGAGGUGGGAAGAUCUCUUGAGACCAGGAGUUUCAGUCCAGUCUGGCCAACAUGGUGACACUCUGUCUAUACUAAAAAUACAAAAAUUAGCCGAGUGUGGUGGUGUGUGCCUGUAGUCCCAGUUACUUGGGAGGCUGAGGCAGGAGACUCACUUGAACCCAGGAAGUGGUGGUUACAGUGAGCCAAGAUUGCACCACUGCGCUCCAGCCUGGGCGACAGAGUGAGACUCUGUCCCAAAAAUAAAUAAAUAAAUAAAUAAAUAAAUAAAUAAAUAAAUAAAUGUAAACAUGUGAGAUUUUAAAAUAUUGUAGUAAAGUUUGGAAUUGUUUAAAAGCAAAACUUAAUGAAAAGACUAGGAAAAAUAGAGGGAUGAAUGGUAGACGAUAUUUGAAUAAAUUCUGUCAUGUAAGGGAUGAGAAAAAUCAUGGGCGCACUCUAAAUUUGUGAAUUAAAUAUAAAAUUAAUAUGGAUGUUUAAUGUUAAGGACCUCGAUUAAAACGGAAUAAUAGAAUGCGGGAAGAAAAUUAAUAUGAAACCAAAGCAUGACAAUUUUUUAAAAUAGUAAAAUAAAUACAUAUAUUAUAAAAUGAGAAUUAUAAAUUGAUUAAAUUCAUUCAUUAGAAGACAUUAAGAAACUAGAGUCUUGAAAAUUAGAUGUGUGUGGCUUAUUAAGAGAAACCCCAAAAGCAAACUGACAGAUACAUUUGAAUCAUCAGGGUUGGAAGGCAAUAUGUAUCUGACAAACUAAACAAAUAGAAGAUAAUAAGAUAAUAUGUAAUAUUACAUAAAAUACAAUUUCACAUGCCAAGAAUCCAUAAUAAUAAAACUAAUGAUAACUAUAAUAUAAUAAGAGCCAACAUUUAUGAUAAAUACAUGGCAAUUAUAAAUUUGUACAAAGCUAAGAGCUUAUCUUCAAAAUAUAUAACAUGAAAUAGCAUUAAAAAAGUAUAAUAAAAACAAAAAAAAUUAAAAAAUGAAAUUUUAAAUGUGUUACCCUAUUUGAAGGUUUUAAGAAAGUUUUCUUAGAAUAUAAUAUAUUGUACAUAAAUAAGCAUAAAUAUAGG